GGGGGGGGGGGGGGGGGGGGGGGGGGCGGGCGGGUGGAGCGGAGAGGGGGGGAGGUUGCUCGUCGGACGGUAGCGGCGUGCGGGUGCGGAGCGCGUGGCUGACCUCCCUCUAGGACUGGGUUAACUUCGGGAAACCGGCGCUGCUUCCGGGUACUGUAUUGCACCGCAUGGUUCACUCGGUACCGACGGCGUUUCUUGCCCUGUUAGAUGUAUCCGGGCCGCAUUAUCUUGUUGGUACGUGAACGGCUUACCCGGGAAACUCUGCGUCGCGGACCUGAGCGGGUGAUCGGCCAAACUGAAACUGAGACACGGUCCAGAGUCCUACGGGAGGAAGCAGUAGGGAAUAUUCCGCAAUGGGCGAAAGCCUGACGGAGCAACGCCGCGUGAGUGAUGAAGGUCUUCGGAUCGUAAAACUCUGUUAUUAGGGAAGAACAAAUGUGUAAGUAACUAUGCACGUCUUGACGGUACCUAAUCAGAAAGCCACGGCUAACUACGUG
RNAcentral lists this ribosomal RNA (497 nucleotides) under uncultured bacterium. Its description in RNAcentral is "partial 16S ribosomal RNA". It matches the Rfam family "Bacterial small subunit ribosomal RNA", at positions 39 to 507 of the family's 1533-position model. The record is from RNAcentral.